UUUUCGAAGAGUUUGAUCCUGGCUCAGAACGAACGCUGGCGGCAUGGCUAAGACAUGCAAGUCGUACGGGACUGGCCGUGGGUAACUGCGGUCGGUUCAGUGGCGGACGGGAGCGUAAUGCAUGGGUAACGUAUCCUUGACACGGGAAUAACAGCGGACCGCAAGGUUCUUUAGCGAAAGUGCUGCUAAUGCCCGAUGAAGUCGCCGGGUCGCAUGGCCUGGCGUCCAAAGGGCGGGGACCGGGUAACCGGCCUGCCGGUCUUGGAGCGGCCCAUGUCCUAUCAGCUAGUUGGUGAGGUAAUGGCUCACCAAGGCUACGACGGGUAGCGGGCGUGAGAGCGUGGCCCGCCUCAUCGGGACUGAGACACUGCCCGGACACCUACGGGUGGCUGCUGUAACGAAACUUGGGCAAUGGGCGCAAGCCUGACCCAGCAAUGCCGCGUGCAGGAGGAAGUC
RNAcentral lists this ribosomal RNA (456 nucleotides) under Phycisphaerae bacterium. RNAcentral describes it as "bacterial SSU rRNA". It matches the Rfam family "Bacterial small subunit ribosomal RNA", at positions 1 to 415 of the family's 1533-position model. Lineage: Bacteria; Pseudomonadati; Planctomycetota; Phycisphaerae. The record is from RNAcentral.